RNAcentral lists this ribosomal RNA (497 nucleotides) under uncultured bacterium. RNAcentral describes it as "partial 16S ribosomal RNA". It matches the Rfam family "Bacterial small subunit ribosomal RNA", at positions 28 to 507 of the family's 1533-position model. The record is from RNAcentral.
GAUGAACGCUGGCGGCGUGCCUAAUACAUGCAAGUCGAGCGAACAGACGAGGAGCUUGCUCCUCUGACGUUAGCGGCGGACGGGUGAGUAACACGUGGAUAACCUACCUAUAAGACUGGGAUAACUUCGGGAAACCGGAGCUAAUACCGGAUAAUAUAUUGAGCCGCAUGGUUCAAUAGUGAAAGACGGUUUUGCUGUCACUUAUAGAUGGAUCCGCGCCGCAUUAGCUAGUUGGUAAGGUAACGGCUUACCAAGGCAACGAUGCGUAGCCGACCUGAGAGGGUGAUCGGCCACACUGGAACUGAGACACGGUCCAGACUCCUACGGGAGGCAGCAGUAGGGAAUCUUCCGCAAUGGGCGAAAGCUUGACGGAGCAACGCCGCGUGAGUGAUGAAGGUCUUCGGAUCGUAAAACUCUGUUAUUAGGGAAGAACAAAUGUGUAAGUAACUAUGCACGUCUUGACGGUACCUAAUCAGGAAGCCACGGCUAACUACGUG